UACGGAGGGAGCGAGCGUUGUUCGGAAUUACUGGGCGUAAAGGGUGCGCAGGCGGCUAUGCAAGUUGGGAGUGAAAUCCCGGGGCUUAACCUCGGAAUUGCUUUCAAAACUGCAUAGCUAGAGUCUCGGAGAGGUUGGCGGAAUUCCCAGUGUAGAGGUGAAAUUCGUAGAUAUUGGGAGGAACACCAGUGGCGUAAGCGGCCAACUAGACGAGUACUGACGCUCAAGCACGAAAGCGUGGGGAUCAAACAGG
RNAcentral lists this ribosomal RNA (253 nucleotides) under uncultured bacterium. RNAcentral describes it as "partial 16S ribosomal RNA". It matches the Rfam family "Bacterial small subunit ribosomal RNA", at positions 524 to 776 of the family's 1533-position model. The record is from RNAcentral.